This 431-nucleotide ribosomal RNA is filed under the name uncultured bacterium. RNAcentral describes it as "partial 16S ribosomal RNA". It matches the Rfam family "Bacterial small subunit ribosomal RNA", at positions 29 to 507 of the family's 1533-position model. The record is from RNAcentral.
AACGAACGCUGGCGGCAGGCCUAACACAUGCAAGUCGAGCGCCCUUUCGGGGGAGCGGCGGACGGGUGAGUAACGCGUGGGAAUAUGCCCUUCUCUACGGAAUAGCCUCGGGAAACUGAGAGUAAUACCGUAUACGCCCUGUGGGGGAAAGAUUUAUCGGGGAAGGAUUAGCCCGCGUUGGAUUAGGGAGUUGGUGGGGUAAUGGCCUACCAAGCCGACGAUCCAUAGCUGGUUUGAGAGGAUGCUCACCCACACUGGGACUGAGACACGGCCCAGACUCCUACGGGAGGCAGCAGUGGGGAAUCUUAGACAAUCGGGGCAACCCUGAUCUAGCCAUGCCGCGUGAGUGCUGAAUGCCUUAGGGUUGUAACGCUCUUUCAGCUGGGAAGAUAAUGACGGUACCCGAAGAAGAAGCCCCGGCUAACUCCGUG